UGGGGAAUUUUGCACAAUGGGGGAAACCCUGAUGCAGCGACGCCGCGUGAUUUAGAAGGCCUUCGGGUUGUAAAAAUCUUUUUUAUGGGAUGAAGAUGACAGUACCAUAAGAAUAAGGUCCGGCUAAAUACGUGCCAGCAGCCGCGGUAAUACGUAUGGACCGAGCGUUGUCCGGAAUCAUUGGGCGUAAAGGGUACGUAGGCGGCCCAGUAAGUUAGAAGUGAAAUAAUAUAGCUCAACUAUAUAAAGCUUUUAAAACUGCUAGGCUUGAGAGAUGGAAGGGAAAGUGGAAUUCCUAGUGUAGCGGUGAAAUGCGCAGAUAUUAGGAAGAAUACCGGUGGCGAAGGCGACUUUCUGGUCAUCAUCUGACGCUGAGGUACGAAAGCGUGGGUAGCAAACAGG
Molecule: ribosomal RNA, 402 nt
Filed under: Bacteroidota bacterium
Lineage: Bacteria; Pseudomonadati; Bacteroidota
Description: Bacteroidetes bacterium partial 16S ribosomal RNA
Rfam family: Bacterial small subunit ribosomal RNA
Source: RNAcentral